AUCUAGGUGACGAGUCCCAAAUAGGAAUAAACUCGCGUCCUGGAU
Molecule: non-coding RNA, 45 nt
Filed under: Schistosoma mansoni
Lineage: Eukaryota; Metazoa; Platyhelminthes; Trematoda; Strigeidida; Schistosomatidae
Source: RNAcentral